AGGUUUCAAAUGAUCUUUCACACAAAAUAUGACGCAAAGAAAAGAUUGGUUAAUUUCUAUACUACUAAGUGAGAUCACGACAAUUUUGGCUUUAACACUAUAAGGAAGCAUGCUGCUUUAUCUUCUUCCUUUCUCUAUCAUCAAUUUCAUUCACAAUAGGCUGAAGGGAAUACAAAGCCAUCACUUUAAUUCUUUGACUCUUAACCACACUAGCACUUAAA
RNAcentral lists this long non-coding RNA (221 nucleotides) under Nicotiana benthamiana. RNAcentral describes it as "long non-coding RNA (NBEN_LNC002530)". Lineage: Eukaryota; Viridiplantae; Streptophyta; Magnoliopsida; Solanales; Solanaceae. The record is from RNAcentral.